GAAGUCGUAACAAGGUUUUCGUAGGUGAACCUGCGGAAGGAUCAUUAACGUUCAUAUGCACUGUAUAUGUCUCGUUUUAUUUUCGUCUUGUGAUUAACUCACAGGAAGAAACAAUUUAAGCCCCAGCGAGAAAGUGGGCGGAUUCAAAAUAUUUCUCGCCGUGGAUACUUUGGAAACACUAGUAUUUACGCUCCUGAACAUUGGAAACAAUUUGUUCGUUUGAGUCAAGAGCACAGCAAGACAAUAACAAUAAGUGUAUUUGUAUAAAAUAUAAGUUAUUGGGGCGUACCAGUGUAAAUCGUCUUAGCGGUGGAUCACUCGGCUCUCA
Molecule: unclassified non-coding RNA, 328 nt
Filed under: fungal sp.
Lineage: Eukaryota; Fungi
Description: partial internal transcribed spacer region
Rfam family: Eukaryotic small subunit ribosomal RNA (bases 1-47)
Source: RNAcentral